UUGUAGAGGAGGGCGUGGCUUCCGGCAUUUGGCGGGGUCUUUGUCUCUCGCUCCCUGCAGAGCUUGGGAUCUGUCUCUGCGGUUCUGCGACCUACACCUUGAGAUCCACCCCCCCCCCCGUGACUCUGUCACAGCCUCUGUUGCUCUGUGAUCUGCAGGUCCUGGGAGACGCACACCUCAGAUGCCAGGACAUCCUGGAAACUUGGAAAGGGUCUCACUGUAUCUAAGCUGGACCUGGUGACCUUUUUGGAGGGAAGGAAAGAGCCCUGGACUGUGACAAGUGAGGAGACCGUAGCUGCACAGCUAGGUUUUGCCUGCAGGAGACAUUGUGACAUAUUGCUGGGCCCUGCACUGACAUCAUGUGACUCUUCUGUCUAUGGGUUUGUCCACUUGGGCCAUUGUGACAUACUGCUGGGUUCAAUAUCC
Molecule: long non-coding RNA, 426 nt
Organism: Cebus imitator (Panamanian white-faced capuchin)
Lineage: Eukaryota; Metazoa; Chordata; Mammalia; Primates; Cebidae
Exons: 3
Source: RefSeq, a predicted model, not a curated record